AACGCAACGCGCCACGCAACCAGCGAAAUUGAAGCCGCGCCUCGCGAAAUCGAACCCCGGGUGUUCGACGACCUGGCAUUCCGCGACUCAAUGAAACACGCCCAUUGUUAAAUGCGCCCCGGCGUUCGAUUUCACGGUAUUACUUUUAUCCGCCAAUCGAAACUAUUUCAUCGCGAAAUUUUUUAGCGCGUAUUUUAAUUUUUUCAGCGGUAUUCCGCUGCGAGGCAUUCCUUCCAUCGCGGCAACGAAUAUUUUAUUGUUUAUUCGUUUGCUUUUCAUUGAUAGGAACGACGGCGAGAAGUGCAGGCAGAUGCGACCCCUAUCCCUACGGAAUUCUAGAAGUGGUCAAUGUAUGCACUGCGAAUAUAUACGCGGCGUACCCAUAAACCAGCAUAUAUUUGUGAAACUGGACGCGAGUGUUUACUCCGUUUGAUGCAAUCCAUGCGUUUAGAAACGGUUUACACAGGAAAAAAUUAAUACAACCAGGAUCGAUCACUCGGGGCUAUACUCCUCGGUUACAUGGCUUGUGGAAUGUCCAACUCGAAAAACUGUUCGAUUUCAUGUUACAAAUUAGUUGGAUUCUGAACUGCUUAUUACUGAACUUAUAUUUCAGUUGAACUGACAAUUUCAUUUGGCACUCUGCUGGUAAAUAGACAGCAUUUUCAAUGGAGUACUCUACAUAAUCGACAGGCUACUCUACAUUAUCAACAAAAUAAUCUACAGUCCCAAUGGCGUUCUCUACAUUACCAACAAGAGACUCUACAUUAUCAA
Long non-coding RNA from Hylaeus anthracinus, 771 nucleotides. RefSeq lists it as uncharacterized. The transcript is spliced from 3 exons. The record is from RefSeq and is a predicted model, not a curated record. NCBI's taxonomy places the organism in Eukaryota, Metazoa, Arthropoda, Insecta, Hymenoptera, Colletidae.